GCGGACAGAUGGGAGCUUGCUCCCUGAUAGUUAGCGGCGGACGGGUGAGUAACACGUGGGUAACCUGCCUGUAAGACUGGGAUAACUCCGGGAAACCGGGGCUAAUACCGGAUGGUUGUUUGAACCGCAUGGUUCAGACAUAAAAGGUGGCUUCGGCUACCACUUACAGAUGGACCCGCGGCGCAUUAGCUAGUUGGUGAGGUAACGGCUCACCAAGGCGACGAUGCGUAGCCGACCUGAGAGGGUGAUCGGCCACACUGGGACUGAGACACGGCCCAGACUCCUACGGGAGGCAGCAGUAGGGAAUCUUCCGCAAUGGACGAAAGUCUGACGGAGCAACGCCGCGUGAGUGAUGAAGGUUUUCGGAUCGUAAAGCUCUGUUGUUAGGGAAGAACAAGUGCCGUUCAAAUAGGGCGGCACCUUGACGGUACCUAACCAGAAAGCCACGGCUAACUACGUGCCAGCAGCCGCGGUAAUACGUAGGUGGCAAGCGUUGUCCGGAAUUAUUGGGCGUAAAGGGCUCGCAGGCGGUUUCUUAAGUCUGAUGUGAAAGCCCCCGGCUCAACCGGGGAGGGUCAUUGGAAACUGGGGAACUUGAGUGCAGAAGAGGAGAGUGGAAUUCCACGUGUAGCGGUGAAAUGCGUAGAGAUGUGGAGGAACACCAGUGGCGAAGGCGACUCUCUGGUCUGUAACUGACGCUGAGGAGCGAAAGCGUGGGGAGCGAACAGGAUUAGAUACCCUGGUAGUCCACGCCGUAAACGAUGAGUGCUAAGUGUUAGGGGGUUUCCGCCCCUUAGUGCUGCAGCUAACGCAUUAAGCACUCCGCCUGGGGAGUACGGUCGCAAGACUGAAACUCAAAGGAAUUGACGGGGGCCCGCACAAGCGGUGGAAGCAUGUGGUUUAAUUCGAAGCAACGCGAAGAACCUUACCAGGUCUUGACAUCCUCUGACAAUCCUAGAGAUAGGACGUCCCCUUCGGGGGCAGAGUGACAGGUGGUGCAUGGUUGUCGUCAGCUCGUGUCGUGAGAUGUUGGGUUAAGUCCCGCAACGAGCGCAACCCUUGAUCUUAGUUGCCAGCAUUCAGUUGGGCACUCUAAGGUGACUGCCGGUGACAAACCGGAGGAAGGUGGGGAUGACGUCAAAUCAUCAUGCCCCUUAUGACCUGGGCUACACACGUGCUACAAUGGACAGAACAAAGGGCAGCGAAACCGCGAGGUUAAGCCAAUCCCACAAAUCUGUUCUCAGUUCGGAUCGCAGUCUGCAACUCGACUGCGUGAAGCUGGAAUCGCUAGUAAUCGCGGAUCAGCAUGCCGCGGUGAAUACGUUCCCGGGCCUUGUACACACCGCCCGUCACACCACGAGAGUUUGUAACACCCGAAGUCGGUGAGGUAACCUUUUAGUGAGCACAGCCGCCGAAGGUGGGACAGAUGAUGGG
Molecule: ribosomal RNA, 1434 nt
Filed under: Bacillus sp. (in: firmicutes)
Lineage: Bacteria; Bacillati; Bacillota; Bacilli; Caryophanales; Bacillaceae
Description: bacterial SSU rRNA
Rfam family: Bacterial small subunit ribosomal RNA
Source: RNAcentral